This 292-nucleotide ribosomal RNA is filed under the name uncultured bacterium. RNAcentral's name for it is "partial 16S ribosomal RNA". The record is from RNAcentral.
GGACUACUGGGGUAUCUAAUCCCGUUCGCUCCCCAUGCUUUCGUGGCUGAGCGUCAGGUACGAGCCAGGGCGUCGCCUUCGCCUCUGGGGUUCCUCCGGAUCUCUACGCAUUUCACCACUACACCCGGAAUUCCACGCCCCUCUCUCGUCCUCUAGAAAAGCAGUCUGGCAUAACCCCUCCCAGUUAAGCUGGGAUAUUUCAUACACCACUUGCUUCCCCGCCUGCACACCCUUUACGCCCAGUAAUUCCGGAUAACGCUUGCCACCUACGUUUUACCGCGGCUGCUGGCAC